GUGCUCACUUGGGCAGCACAUACACUAGAAUUGAAAGAAUACAGAGAUUAACAUGGCGCCGGUGCAAGGAUGACAUGCCAAUUCAUGAAGUGUUCCAUAUUUUU
Small nuclear RNA from Diceros bicornis minor, 104 nucleotides. The record is from RefSeq and is a predicted model, not a curated record. NCBI's taxonomy places the organism in Eukaryota, Metazoa, Chordata, Mammalia, Perissodactyla, Rhinocerotidae.